This 382-nucleotide ribosomal RNA is filed under the name uncultured eukaryote. Its description in RNAcentral is "partial 18S ribosomal RNA". It matches the Rfam family "Eukaryotic small subunit ribosomal RNA", at positions 592 to 976 of the family's 1831-position model. The record is from RNAcentral.
UGCAAGCGUAUACCAAAGUUGUUGCAGUUAAAACGCUCGUAGUCGGAAUUUGGCAGUUCCGGAAGUGUGCACGUCGUGUGCGCACUUUGCGGGGACUGCUUUUGUGGUCUUGCGUAGGAUGAGGCACUUUCAUUAGUGAACGUCCUCACGCAACCACUCUUUACUGUGAGAAAAUCAGAGUGCUCAAAGCAGGCAUUUGCCGUGAAUGUAUUAGCAUGGAAUAAUAGAAUAGGACUCGGUUCUAUUUUGUUGGUUUGUUGGGACUGAGUAAUGAUUAAGAGGGACAGUUGGGGGCAUUUGUAUUCCGGCGCUAGAGGUGAAAUUCUUAGAUUGCCGGAAGACAAACUGCUGCGAAAGCGUCUGCCAAGGAUGUUUUCAUUGA